This is a long non-coding RNA of Schistocerca serialis cubense, 3364 nucleotides long. RefSeq lists it as uncharacterized. Lineage: Eukaryota; Metazoa; Arthropoda; Insecta; Orthoptera; Acrididae. The record is from RefSeq and is a predicted model, not a curated record. The transcript has 3 exons.
CUGGCACAUGGCAUGUGUAGUUUUGCAGGUGGCUCUCCCUUUGGUAGUAUAUGUUUAGCCAGUUAAAGUGCUUGUGUGUUUGCUAUUCUGAAUUCCAUGUCACUUUCCUUUAUGUUGAUCACAUACUCACUGAGGAUUCAGCUAACGAUUUCUCUUCAUAUUAAGUCUACUAAUAAACAACAGUACUUACAUUGUUCAGAUGCAGGCUGUUUACAGCAAUGCACCACCAUUCCCAUCUCAGGUUGCACUGGACGUAAUUACCCCACCAAGCUAUCUCAAAAGCAUAUUUCACAAGCUAUAACAUCCAAUUCUGGUACUGCUGAUCCCUCCAAAAUACAGCUUAGGAGUUCAUCUCUUGUCACUCCAUAUUAUCACGGUCUUGUAUCAGCUACUUCGACAAGUCUAUGACCUCCUAAAACUGUGCCCUGAAACGAGGUCCAUUCCAUCUGUCACUUUGCCCACCACACCUAAAUAGCUUUUCAUCAACCUCCCGAUCUCUGCAAUGUCCUUGUCAGAUCCUAUGCUCCUUCUGCACCCACUUGCCUACCCUGUGGCUCCUACCCCUGUGACAGUCUCACUGUAAGACUUGCCCUAUGCAACCUACUACCAUCUGCUACACAAGUCCUUACACUGGCAAAACAUAUACUACCAAAGGAAGAACCACCUGUGAAACAACACAUGCUGUAUGUCAGCUGUUGUGUACCCACUGUUCAGCCUUCUACAUUGGUUGACUACCACAAAGCUAUCAGUUAGGACAGAUGGGCAUAGGCAGAGGGCACAUACUGGAAACAUACAAUAUCCUGCUGCAGAGCAUUUUCUACAACAUGGCAGUCAUGACUUUGGAGCUUGUUUCAACACAUAUGCCAUCUAGAUUCUUCCUCUGGAAGCAAUUUUCUCAGAACUCCACAGGUGGGAACUGGAGUUACAACAUGUCCUUGGUUCUUGUCACCCACCUGGCCUUAAAUUGCAUUAAUUAUUUUCUUUAAUUAUCUUGGCCCCAGCAUUUCUUCUCCAUAACUAUUCCUUUCUUCACUCACUUUCAGUUUGCUGUAUCUUUUUAUUUUCUGUCCUGUCUUUUCCCCCCAACUCUACCAUAUAGAAUGCUCUCAGCUUUCUGCUCUUAUUAAAUUUAGCACAAUUCUUUGCCACCAAUCUCUGUCUUGCAUAUUGCCCUAUCUUCCACCUUCAAGCACUCAAGUUUUCAAAUCUCAUCCAGUGCAGUCUGUAACAAUCAGUCUUCCCUUUUAUUCCCAUCUGGUAAGUCUGCCCUGACCUGGGGUUCUGGCCAACUUUUCUGGACUCUCCCCGUUUCCUAAAUUUCACCAGUCCUUUUCCUUCCCCGCUCUUCCUUCCCCUUCCACCUUUCUGCCAGAAGAAAGAGCCACUGGCUCUGGAAGCUUGCUAUGUGUUUUUUCCUGCCAGCACUUGAUUUGCAGACUUUUUAUCAAUCCAAUUACAUCAUCAUAUUUUUAAAAAUUAUUUUCAUUGAAAUAAUAAUGCUGAUUUUUUGGAAUAUAUAUCCUUUCUUCUGUAAGUAAUUAGAACAAUAAGGUAGAAACAUAUACUAAAACAAGGGAAUGAAUGAAAAAUUACUGUGAAUUGCUAAGAAAUCACUUGAGGUAAAUUCAUUGAUGAACAUUGUAACUUUGGUAAAUCCACAAACUCAGUUUGUUUCAAUAGGAGGGGAGACUUACAAAACUCCAGGAGAAGAAUCUCUAACUUAUCAUCACUUCUUUCUUUCAUGUUACUAUUGACUGUGUCACAGUCCAACCUUUAAAGUGAGUAAAACAAAUUCCAGCAUAUUUUUUCUUGGAAAUACAAAAAUGACAAAAAUUCAACCUCACAGUGAAAAUACAACUCUUUUAGCUAAAUGGCAGACAUAGCUGAGAUACAUAACUCAAAGAAGAUGUAAAUAGAGCUAGGACUGUUGUUAGGUUUGUGUUUUGAACCUAAAUAUGAAAGCAAUUUAACACAAAUGAUAAUAGCAGAUGUUUGUUUUUGUAAUGUAGUUUCAUUACAGUGGUUGUGGUCCAGAAAGCGUAUGGCUGUUACUGUUUGCUGCUACUAUUCUGAGAAAUUGUUGUGUUCAGUUAUUCUAGACAGAAACAGACUACUCAGUUGUUUAAGCAUAGUGUUAAAUCACCAUAUACUUGCAGACAGAAUCUAUAAAUUUAUGUAUAACCACAUAUGUCUUGUAAAUCUAAGCAUUUUAGUAUGAGAAUUUCACCUGAAAUCAUACAUGUCCAUAUGCAACAGUUCAUGUAUAGUUUGGUUUGUGUUGUCAGCAUGAAAUUAAAGAUUGAAACCGCUGUUAUGUAUUUUGGUAACCAGUACCUUGACUAUUUUAAUUUUGAAAUGCUGCAAUGAAAUAGUUGAUGUAAAAUAUCUUCCAGAGUGAGGUGGUAUAGUGAUUAAGGCAUUAUGAUCACACGUAGGAGGUGCAGUGUUCAGAUCCUCUUCUGGCCACCCUGAGUCAUAUUUUCUGUACUUUUCCCUAAACUGCUUCAAGCAGAUAGCAGGAUAAUUGCUUAAUUGGUUUGAAAAGGAAAUGACCAAGAGCUUUCCCCAUAAUUGCCCAUUUAGAGUUAAGUUCCAUUUCUUAUGACAUUGUCAUCAUCUGAAUUUUUAAAUCUAAUCUUACUGCUUUCCCCUGUAAGAUUUAAAUAUUUCCAGUGGAAAGUCAAUAAGUACACAUUGCACAUAAAAUGAUGGAUCAGUCCAGCAUCCAGUUAAGUAAUACAAAAACAGCAAGCCAGAUCAAUUUGUAUGUCAGACCUUGUAUAAUAUUGUGUCUACUAUAGACAAACUGUAUAUGCAUAUAAUUCUAUUUCUAAAUGGCAGAUAUUUCAGGGAUUUAAACAAGCUAAACAAUACAUGUUGUAAAACACCACUUCCAUUUUCCAUUUUUUGGCUUGCACAGUGUUUUUCGGACAUGUCAUGCAGGAAAUCUGCAUACCUCACACAAAACCAAUAAGAGUGUGAAUAGUGUUCUGUAACAAUCAGUUGAAUCAUAAUGAGUUGAUACAGGAAAUGGGAUGAUUUUCAAAGACGUGAUAGUCUGAAGAAAGUCCAUACACUGCUGAGUUUGCAAAAUAGGCAGUACAGUACAAAAAGACACCAUUAAUGAACUCACACAGAAGUAGAGAACUGUCUCAAUUACUUGCUGUGGUAAAAUCAUUAUCUUCUGAAACUAUAUGACAGACUGUAGGCACUUUCUCUUCAGGUUUGUUGUACUACUGAGAGAUGGGUAUCCUGCUAAUGGCUGCACUCUUUACCUAUUGGGAGUGCUUCGCAGUUGGGUUGUCUGAAGCUUGUUUGGUGGAGGCUGCCCAAGGAGGAGACACCUGAAGAGUUGUCUGCUGGG